Macadamia integrifolia is the source of this 5976-nucleotide RNA transcript. It is a transcript of the gene named nuclear pore complex protein NUP160, with no coding region annotated. The transcript has 31 exons. The record is from RefSeq and is a predicted model, not a curated record. Lineage: Eukaryota; Viridiplantae; Streptophyta; Magnoliopsida; Proteales; Proteaceae.
UAGUUACGUAAAGAUGUUUCGUUAACACUGGCAUUCUCUUGGUGUCACUGUAAAUUUUCCUUCAUUAAUUGAAAUCUCCAACCCCGCAAAUGGUUGAUCUUGUGUUAAUAUGAUUUGAAGAAAAAAAUUUAAUUUCCCGCCACAAGUGAGUGUUCUUCACGACUGUUCCGUGCGUGCGAGCGAAGCCGCUCGUGUCGCUGGGGCGGUGAGCUCCCCGACCACUUUCACUGCUCUUCGUUACGAAUAAAGAAUCAAUCUAUACUACUCUUUUACAUUGCAGCUCCGUUCGAAGCUCUUGUUCGUUCGCGUUUUUCCGGCGACUCCAGUUUGGAAAAUUUUCAUUGGGUAAAAUUUUACAGAAGGGCUACCUUUUCCGGUAAAUUGGACGGAAAAUUUACCUUAAAAUUUGUCAGCAAAACAACCCGGAAAAUCCAUCGGGGGUUGAGAGUCUGAGACUCGAUUUCUAAUCUCCUCCUUCCCUCUUCCCCGCCGAUCACUCCUCCUUCUCUCCUUCUCAUCUCAUUCCUCAUCAGCUCCUGCCCUCUUCCCCGCCGAUUACCUGUGGAAUCGUUCUCUCCUCCUUCUCUCCUUCUCAUCUCAGAGCAGAUCUGUUCUCUCCUCCUUCUCUUCUCCUUGACGAUAACUUUCGAAACCAACGGUAUCACAUGAUCAAAGACUCUAUCUCCUUGGCACACGUGAUUCAAACCUGCGCACGAACCAGGCAACUGACCAAAGCUGCCAGCACAGUGUGACUUUAUUGUGCUUGUGCACACUCGCGUGCUGGUGUGUGUUUCUUCAGAUGGCAAGUCGAUUGUUGGCUGGAAUGGAGGUUCCCUUGAUUGGUACCAAUGAUGUGAAGUGGAUUGAGGUAUCUGUUCCUUCGUCAUCUCCUCCCGGUGCCACUGCUGUUGUCUCCUCUUCGGUGUCUUCGCAUCCUUGCACUCCCCUCACAAAGGAUGCUACCUCUUGCCAUAUUGUCGGGGAUUCUUCCCAUUAUAUAAUAUGGAGAAUUCACGAGAGUUUACCUAAUGUAGUUGAAUUAGUUGAAACCUCUGCAUGCAAUGAAUUCCCCAGGAUUGGACUGCGUCUCAUUUUCCCUCAUGCACUAAGUCCAUUUGCUUUUAUAUGCAAAGAUGAGGUUAAAAGCAGUGUUGGGAACUCAUACCUGCUUUAUGCAUUAGAAGUCUCAGGAGUUGCUUACCUUCUUAAACUAAGGAAAAUUUGUACUUAUGCAUCUUGCUCCCCUUUCCCGCGGAGUGAUCUUAUAGAGUUCAAUGUUCAAACUCAUCCACAAGUUGGAGCAGUAACUGCUGUAGCAGCUACAGUGGGUUGCCUAGUUAUUGGAAGACAGGAUGGAUCAAUUAGCUGCUACCGACUUGGUGCAUUCGAUCAAACUCCUCUUGAUCUCAUGCAAGAACUGCGAGAUGAUGUUGGGAUUGGUCGCAUCUGGGGACUUAUGUCAAGGGUCAGGAGUACUGGAGCUGUGCAGGAUCUAAUAAUAUCAGAGGUGCAUGGAAGAAAAUUACUUUUUGUGCUUCAUUCUGAUGGGAGCUUACGAGUAUGGGAUCUUUUAAGUCGUGUUAGACUUUUCAAUCAUACUAUUACCAUUCCGACAUUGACAGGAGAUUCAGCUACAAAGUUACGUGUGGGUGAUGUCGACAAUACCAGUCUAAUUUCUGUUGCAAUCUUAUAUAGUACUAUGGAACUGGAUGCGAAGUUGGUUGCAACUUUUAAGCUCUCUUUUACGAUGGGUGAAAAAAUCAAUUUGUCACUUGAUCCUUCAAUAACAACUAUCCCUUUGGAGGGAAGAAUCAUUGACUUUGUUAUUUCAUCCAAAAAGCUUUGGAUUCUUAAAGAUGAUGCAUUGAUGUUAUAUGAUUUGGUUCAUACAAGUGAUUCUAAGGAGGAAGUAUACAGUUAUGCUUUGCAGGAUAUCUUUCUUGCUGAUCAGCUAUUCCAAGAUGUUGAAGAUUCUUCUGAUGACUUGAUCUGGUUUAGUCAUUCAUUAAUUUCUUCAUUGAAGGACCAAGUUGUUCCGUUUGUGUCAUCUAUUUUCUUGCGUAGGCUGCUUUACCCUGGUGUGCUUCAAGGUGUUGCUCUGCGUGAAACAAUGCAAGAGUACAACAAGCACUGGACUGAUUCUGAGUUUCAAUCCUUAACUGUUGAUGACUUGAAAAAGGAGAUCCUUUAUCUUAUUGAGAGUGAGGCUGUUGCUGAAUAUCCAAUGUCAGUAAUUUAUUGCUGGAAAAAUCUUUGCACUCGCUACUUCCAUUAUUGGUGUAAAAACAAUAAACCAUAUGGUUUUCUGGUUAAUUCAACAGGAGCGGUUGGUUUAAUAAGAAAAAACUCAAUAUCCAUAUUCCGUCGUUUGGAGGAUAUUGAGUUGCUAAUAAAUGUUUCUGGGGAACAGAGUGAUUUUGUAAGCUCUGGCUUGGAUUUGCCAGAUGAUAAUCUUGAUCGUGAAGUUCUUUUUGAAGUGCUAAGAUUUUCUAGUAGCAUCAGGCAGCAACUAGGGAAAGCUGCCGUUGCUAUAUAUUAUGAAUCACUUGUCAGUGCAUCUACCAUCUCGUCCGAAGAAAUUGUUGCUUUCUUGCUGAAGAUUCUGGAAACUGGAGACAGUUCAUCAAUGAAAGCAGCCCAUAUUUCGCAACUUGGAGCCAAUAGAUCUUGGGGAAAGAAACUAGCAGAUCAUAAAAAGCAGAGGCAAUUCUCCAUUGACAUGUUAUUGUCACUUCAUGCUUUGUGCAAUAAGGCUACCACAGGAGGCAGAGUAUUGGAUGUGAUAGAGAACUACCUUAAGUUUCUUGUCCCUCGAAAAACCAUGGAUAGAUUGGAUUCGGAGGCAAGCUUUGGUAUCAACACAUCAAUAUUAGUUCAGGCCACUUCUCAAGUUGCAAAAGUGAUGUUUGAAUCUACUUUUGACAUACUUUUAUUGUUGGGGUAUCUGAUGAACACCAAUGGGCAGGUCCUCAUGGCGCACAGUGAUAUCUCCAGAAUACAACUUGAACUGAUUCCAAUGAUACAUGAAACCCUUGCUGAGUGGCUUAUCCUCCAUUUUUUGGGAACUACUCCUUCCGAAUCACCAGCCUUGGAGGAUUUCAAUUCUCGACUUUCAUCACUGCACAUUGGUAGCCACAAUGAUACGAAUUCAUGGAAUGAAAUGCUUGGCACGCGGGACUUUACGCUAGCUUGUAUACUCAUGCCUAAUUUCAGAAGUUCCUUUGAGGAGCAUGGCAAUAUUUCUUCAAGAUAUUUUACUAGCCCUGAAAAUAUCAUCAGUUCCAUGCGGAACUUCUGCAGCUGGAUUAUAUGGGGCAGGACUGGAGAAGAAAAAACUUCCUUGUUCAGUCGUAUUUCUGAACUUGCGCUUGUCCUCCUUAGGCAUGGUCAAUGUGAAGCUGUUGAGAACCUGCUUGCAAUUAUCGAUGCACAUUCACGAAAAGAGAAGAUAUCCCAGAGUGUUCAGACUACCGAUGGUGAAUGGUGCAUGCAUUUUCAUCUCCUUGGAUGUUGUCUUCUCGCAAGGGCACAAUUUGGAUUUCAAGAAAUUUCAAAGCAAAGGAAAGUUCAUGAAGCAGUUUGCUGUUUCUUUAGAGCUUCAUGUGGACAAGGGGCUUACCGGGCCUUGCGUGAUCUGUCUCUGCAAACAGGCUCCCAUUCUGGUUCCGGUUGGGACUCUGCAGCAGCAUGGAAGCUUCAUUAUUAUCAAUGGGCAAUGCAGACUUUUGAGCAAUAUAAUCUGAGUGAGGGUGCUUGCCAGUUUGCUUUUGCUGCCCUGGAGCAAAUUGAUGAAGCACUUAGAUUGUGCAAUGAUACUGCUGAAGAUCUUCUUUCUGAGCCUGCAACUGUUAUUAGAGGGAGGCUCUGGGCAAAUAUCUUCAAGUUUACCUUAGAUCAGAACCACUAUUAUGAUGCAUAUUGUGCGAUAAUUUCCAACCCCGAUGAAGAUAGCAAAUAUAUUUGUCUGAGGCGUUUAAUAAUUGUUCUUUGUGAGCGUGGUGCCAGUAAGACUCUUUGUGAUGGUCAACUACCAUUUAUUGGGUUAACAGAAAAGUUGAGGCAAGAGCUUGUCUGGAAGUUAGGUGAGUGUUGGGCCCUCUAUCACUUGGACCCGCCCUCAGUUGCCCAUGUCGUCCAUGUCUGUGACAUGUCAAAGGCCGAGCGCUCGGAUUCUGCAGCAAACCCAAACCCGUACCGAUUGCUUUAUGCUUUUGAAAUGCAUCGAAACAACUUUCGGAGAGCAGCUAGUUACAUAUACCGAUAUUCAGACCGUCUGAGAACUGAAGCAACCUCAAAUGCACCCCAGCAGAUUCCCUCGACUCUGCAGGAGAGGCUUAAUGCACUCUCUGCAGCUAUCAAUGCUCUGCAUCUUGUUCAUAUUGCAUAUUCUUGGAUUGACCCACAGAUUGAAGGUUACUCUUGCCUGGAUGAGCACCAUCCAAGUAAAAGGCCUAGAAAUUUUGUAGACAAGAGCUCUAUGGACAACAAUGGCUUUCAAGCUCAGGGACUGCAAUGUUAUAUCGAUAUUGAGAAAAUAGAGAGAGAGUUUCUAUUGACAUCAGCUCAAUAUUUACUUUGGCAGGCAAAUAUGAAAUCACCAUUUACAGGUAAUCAAGUACUUCCAUUAGAUGUUGUGGAUAUGCUAGUCCUGACAGACUUAUAUGAUAUGGCAUUUACACUUCUUCUGAAGUUUUGGAAAGGUUCAGGAUUGAAGAGGGAGCUUGAACGAGUCUUUGUUGCUAUGUCAAAAAAAUGUUGCCCAAAUGGAGUGGGUUCCCCAUAUAGAGGGAAUGAUAUCAGAACACAUGGUCUUCUGUUGGCAUCAUCAGAGGAUGAAACAUUUAUUCAAAGUCCUUUUCAUACAUGCCAUUCUACUCAUCAGUUGAGAGUGCUCUCUCAGUGGGAAGCGCUUGAAGUUUAUCUGGAAAAAUAUAAGAAGUUGCACCCACGAUUACCUGUCAUUGUUGCUGAAACGCUACUGGAAACUGACCCUCAAAUUGAAUUGCCUCUUUGGCUAGUACAUAUGUUCAAGGGUGGUAGAACGGCAGUCUGUUGGGGGAUGACUGGACAGGAAGCAGACCCUGCAUCUUUACUUCGUCUAUACGUUGAUUAUGGCAGAUAUGCAGAAGCCACAAAUCUGGUCCUUGAGUUUAUAGAGUCCCUUGCAUCUCUUAGACCAGCAGAUAUAAUUAAACGGAAAAAGAUAUCUGCUGUUUGGUUCCCAUACACUGUGGUUGAGCGCCUAUGGUGCCACCUGGAAGAGUUGAGCAAUGCAGGCCAAAUGAAUGAUCAAUGUGACAAACUCAAGAAGCUGCUACAUGGAGCUCUGUUGAACCAUCUCACACUAAUGAAGGUGGACUCACAUGAUGCCCAGGGGUCUGCACUCUGUUAAGAAGCUUCAGGAAGUUUCUUCUCUGUUGGAUCUAGAUCCAGAUCUAACACAUCAUAGAAAUGAGAGCAAAUAUAGAUUCACUUAAAGAUUAAAUGUCUACAUCAAGUGUCAAUGAUAGGAACCUUGUUGGACUAAAGUGUAGAUGUGAUGGAAAAGCUGGUGUGAAGAUCUCAGUGACCGUGGGUAAUCCAAACAGUAUUUUAUGGCUGUCAGACAUCAUAUAUGCAAAUACUUCUCUUAGUGUGAUCCCAUUAAUGCACCAAGAACAGUGGAGUUUGUGAACACAGAAGAACCAAUAAUUGUUCCCAUUCAUGAUUUGGAAGAGUUGAAAGAGAUUAAAUGAAUUGGAGAGGUUUAAUGGGUCACUAAAAGCAUCAAUAGUUCAUCCCAAUCCUGAUUUGGAAGAGUUGAAAGAGAUUGAAUGAAUUGGAGAAGUUUAAUGGAUCACUGAAGAUUGUCAUUAGUUUUCUUUGUUGGUGUCUUUGUAGCAAUAAUUGUAAAAAAAGUUUGAUGACCUUGAUCAAUGUUUUUGGUACUUGAAAGGGAACACAUUCCAGUUGUAAUUAAGUACUUAGCUUUUGUUA